GUGGAUUAGAUACCCUGGUAGUCCAUGCCGUAAACGUUGGGAACUAGAUGUAGGGUCCAUUCCACGGAUUCUGUGUCGUAGCUAACGCAUUAAGUUCCCCGCCUGGGGAGUACGGCCGCAAGGCUAAAACUCAAAGGAAUUGACGGGGGCCCGCACAAGCGGCGGAGCAUGCGGAUUAAUUCGAUGCAACGCGAAGAACCUUACCAAGGCUUGACAUAUAGAGGAAACGGCUAGAGAUAGUCGCCCCGCAAGGUCUCUAUACAGGUGGUGCACGGUCGUCGUCAACU
This 287-nucleotide ribosomal RNA is filed under the name uncultured bacterium. Its description in RNAcentral is "partial 16S ribosomal RNA". It matches the Rfam family "Bacterial small subunit ribosomal RNA", at positions 773 to 1060 of the family's 1533-position model. The record is from RNAcentral.